RNAcentral lists this ribosomal RNA (468 nucleotides) under uncultured bacterium. Its description in RNAcentral is "partial 16S ribosomal RNA". It matches the Rfam family "Bacterial small subunit ribosomal RNA", at positions 28 to 507 of the family's 1533-position model. The record is from RNAcentral.
GACGAACGCUGGCGGCGUGCUUAACACAUGCAAGUCGAACGGAAAGGCCCUGCUUUUGUGGGGUGCUCGAGUGGCGAACGGGUGAGUAACACGUGAGUAACCUGCCCUUGACUUUGGGAUAACUUCAGGAAACUGGGGCUAAUACCGGAUAGGAGCUCCUGCUGCAUGGUGGGGGUUGGAAAGUUUCGGCGGUUGGGGAUGGACUCGCGGCUUAUCAGCUUGUUGGUGGGGUAGUGGCUUACCAAGGCAUUGACGGGUAGCCGGCCUGAGAGGGUGACCGGCCACAUUGGGACUGAGAUACGGCCCAGACUCCGACGGGAGGCAGCAGUGGGGAAUAUUGCACAAUGGGCGGAAGCCUGAUGCAGCAACGCCGCGUGCGGGAUGACGGCCUUCGGGUUGUAAACCGCUUUCGCCUGUGACGAAGCGUGAGUGACGGUAAUGGGUAAAGAAGCACCGGCUAACUACGUG